RNAcentral lists this unclassified non-coding RNA (335 nucleotides) under Hevea brasiliensis (rubber tree). The record is from RNAcentral. Lineage: Eukaryota; Viridiplantae; Streptophyta; Magnoliopsida; Malpighiales; Euphorbiaceae.
AAUGGUAAAUGGAGCAUUUUUUGUGCCAUCAGGUGAAGGACUCAGUAACCAAUACGCGAAAGCCUCGAGCGUGGAGCCCAAAUCCGCUGCUAUUAUUGAUCAACUCACUCUUAAUGCUGGUGUUUUUGGUGCCACAAGGGAUAAAAGUAUAAGUAUAUCCUAUGGAGGAGGGACCACCACCGGAGCUAGCGGGAGUGGCGGUGGAGGGUCCACCGGCGCCGGCGAUGAUAGUGAUUUUUUUGGAAUGAUGUUUGGGAGCGGCGCACCACAAAAAUUAUCAUCAACCACUCAUUAUACUAUCUUAUUAUCUCUUUUAAUUAUGUUAUUUUUGUACA